RNAcentral lists this ribosomal RNA (313 nucleotides) under uncultured bacterium. RNAcentral describes it as "bacterial SSU rRNA". It matches the Rfam family "Bacterial small subunit ribosomal RNA", at positions 199 to 507 of the family's 1533-position model. The record is from RNAcentral.
ACCGCAAGGCCUGACGCGAUUGGAUGAGCCCAUGUUCGAUUAGCUAGUUGGCGGGGUAACGGCCCACCAAGGCGACGAUCGAUAGCUGGUCUGAGAGGAUGAUCAGCCACACUGGAACUGAGACACGGUCCAGACUCCUACGGGAGGCAGCAGUAGGGAAUAUUGGACAAUGGGCGCAAGCCUGAUCCAGCCAUGCCGCGUGAGUGAAGAAGGCCCUCGGGUUGUAAAGCUCUUUUGUUGGGGAAGAAAAGCAGUUGGUUAAUACCCGAUUGUUCUGACGGUACCCAAAGAAUAAGCACCGGCUAACUUCGUG